CUUUGUAUAUUACAUUUUUCUGUAAAAACUUAGCUUGCUUAUAUAUAUGGCUAUAGUUGGGAUAUAGAUAUGUUUUAUAUUUUUGGACUGCUGUGAUUUGAAAAACUAUAAGGAAUCUGCAGGUCUUUGACGAAAGAAGUUUAGUGUGAAAAUGCUGCGGCUGCAAUGAACGCUGAGCGUACCCUAGAGGCUGAAUAGCUGCCGAUCGCUGGCACAUACAGAAUUUCAUCCGCUAUCGCUUUUCCAGAGAAUUAUUUAUAUGUACAUAUAAAUUAGCUUUAAUAAAGAUAUCAGCAUA
Long non-coding RNA from Magallana angulata, 298 nucleotides. RefSeq lists it as uncharacterized. The transcript has 2 exons. NCBI's taxonomy places the organism in Eukaryota, Metazoa, Mollusca, Bivalvia, Ostreida, Ostreidae. The record is from RefSeq and is a predicted model, not a curated record.